CACAAAGUAUAAAGCAUAAAUAUGGAAUCUGGAAAAAUCACUGCAAAAAAAAAAAGCACUGAAAAUCAUUGUAUUGAAUCUGGAUACUAUGUAGAGAGAAAAAAUAUUUUGCUCGUGAUCUACCACUUGAUGAAUUUAUUUAUGGUCCAUCAUAUCAAGAACACAAGAUACGAUCAUAAUGUUAAUAGACCACUGGUGUUGAUUGAAAGAUAUGUUUGACUAUAAACAAGAGAAUGCGAGAAAAAACGCAAAAAGAAAGAAAGAUAACAGUUAUUUGCUCUAAAA
This is a long non-coding RNA of Hydra vulgaris (swiftwater hydra), 285 nucleotides long. RefSeq lists it as uncharacterized. Lineage: Eukaryota; Metazoa; Cnidaria; Hydrozoa; Anthoathecata; Hydridae. The record is from RefSeq and is a predicted model, not a curated record.